RNAcentral lists this ribosomal RNA (1487 nucleotides) under Kocuria rosea. Its description in RNAcentral is "bacterial SSU rRNA". It matches the Rfam family "Bacterial small subunit ribosomal RNA". Lineage: Bacteria; Bacillati; Actinomycetota; Actinomycetes; Micrococcales; Micrococcaceae. The record is from RNAcentral. RNAcentral also lists the same sequence under 1 other name.
UAGAGUUUGAUCAUGGCUCAGACGAACGCUGGCGGCGUGCUUAACACAUGCAAGUCGAACGAUGAUGCCCAGCUUGCUGGGCGGAUUAGUGGCGAACGGGUGAGUAAUACGUGAGUAACCUGCCCUUGACUCUGGGAUAAGCCUGGGAAACUGGGUCUAAUACUGGAUACUACCUCUUACCGCAUGGUGGGUGGUGGAAAGGGUUUUACUGGUUUUGGAUGGGCUCACGGCCUAUCAGCUUGUUGGUGGGGUAAUGGCUCACCAAGGCGACGACGGGUAGCCGGCCUGAGAGGGUGACCGGCCACACUGGGACUGAGACACGGCCCAGACUCCUACGGGAGGCAGCAGUGGGGAAUAUUGCACAACGGGCGGAAGCCUGAUGCAGCGACGCCGCGUGAGGGAUGACGGCCUUCGGGUUGUAAACCUCUUUCAGUAGGGAAGAAGCGAGAGUGACGGUACCUGCAGAAGAAGCGCCGGCUAACUACGUGCCAGCAGCCGCGGUAAUACGUAGGGCGCAAGCGUUGUCCGGAAUUAUUGGGCGUAAAGAGCUCGUAGGCGGUUUGUCGCGUCUGCUGUGAAAGCCCGGGGCUCAACCCCGGGUCUGCAGUGGGUACGGGCAGACUAGAGUGCAGUAGGGGAGACUGGAAUUCCUGGUGUAGCGGUGAAAUGCGCAGAUAUCAGGAGGAACACCGAUGGCGAAGGCAGGUCUCUGGGCUGUUACUGACGCUGAGGAGCGAAAGCAUGGGGAGCGAACAGGAUUAGAUACCCUGGUAGUCCAUGCCGUAAACGUUGGGCACUAGGUGUGGGGGACAUUCCACGUUUUCCGCGCCGUAGCUAACGCAUUAAGUGCCCCGCCUGGGGAGUACGGCCGCAAGGCUAAAACUCAAAGGAAUUGACGGGGGCCCGCACAAGCGGCGGAGCAUGCGGAUUAAUUCGAUGCAACGCGAAGAACCUUACCAAGGCUUGACAUUCACCGGACCGCCCCAGAGAUGGGGUUUCCCUUCGGGGCUGGUGGACAGGUGGUGCAUGGUUGUCGUCAGCUCGUGUCGUGAGAUGUUGGGUUAAGUCCCGCAACGAGCGCAACCCUCGUUCUAUGUUGCCAGCACGUGAUGGUGGGGACUCAUAGGAGACUGCCGGGGUCAACUCGGAGGAAGGUGGGGAUGACGUCAAAUCAUCAUGCCCCUUAUGUCUUGGGCUUCACGCAUGCUACAAUGGCCGGUAUAAAGGGUUGCGAUACUGUGAGGUGGAGCUAAUCCCAAAAAGCCGGUCUCAGUUCGGAUUGAGGUCUGCAACUCGACCUCAUGAAGUCGGAGUCGCUAGUAAUCGCAGAUCAGCAACGCUGCGGUGAAUACGUUCCCGGGCCUUGUACACACCGCCCGUCAAGUCACGAAAGUUGGUAACACCCGAAGCCGGUGGCCUAACCCCUUGUGGGAGGGAGCCGUCGAAGGUGGGACUGGCGAUUGGGACUAAGUCGUAACAAGGUAACC